Amborella trichopoda is the source of this 674-nucleotide long non-coding RNA. RefSeq lists it as uncharacterized. NCBI's taxonomy places the organism in Eukaryota, Viridiplantae, Streptophyta, Magnoliopsida, Amborellales, Amborellaceae. The record is from RefSeq and is a predicted model, not a curated record.
CUCUCUCUCUCCUCUCUCUUUCUCUCUCUCUCUGUCUCCCGAGAACAACAAUCGGCCUCCUCGCUCAGCAACCCUUCAGCAACCCUAAUUCCCCACCCUAGAUUCUGUGGACUCUGGAAUCUCUCUCAUUGGAAGCCGCCUCCAUUCUCAGCAACUCUAAAUAAAAAUUAGUGGUUUCAAUCAACCAUUCACAGCAAGGUAAAAAUUAUUUCUUAUGGUUAUGUGGAUGCAACGGCUGCUGUUCUUUUGAGUCAAAAGUUGACAGUUGCAAACACCGAUUGAUGGAGGACUUCACAUUUCACUUGAUGUUUCCAAGCCAGAAAACAAUGCCGCACUACCUUCGGUCGAUGAAUUUACCUUGUUUCAUGGUUAAUUAUUUGUAAACUUAAUACUACGCCUUUUGGAGGGUAUUCCUUUUUCUCUUAUGGGACCAUUUAUCUUUUACUUUUUGUGGUGUGUUCAUUGUUUGUAUUGAUUUGUUAUGAUGGGGCUGUCUCGUUAUCUUGGGAUAGUGCCUGAUUGGGUUUGGAAUUUAUGACAGGUUUUGUAUGAUAUAUGGCUUGAAAAACCAAAAAUAUGGCAGAAGUGCUCAAUUGGGUGGAAUUUAUGACAGGUUUUGUAUGAUAUAUGGCUUGAAAAACCAAAAAUAUGGCAGAAGUGCCCAAUUGGGUUUG